Molecule: long non-coding RNA, 5080 nt
Organism: Pectinophora gossypiella (pink bollworm)
Lineage: Eukaryota; Metazoa; Arthropoda; Insecta; Lepidoptera; Gelechiidae
Exons: 2
Source: RefSeq, a predicted model, not a curated record
GAAUAACAAAGUUUACAUAAAUAAUUAUGUAUCAUAGGGAAACGGGAAAAAAGCAUAAACUUUCAUCACAACAGAGUCUCAUCAGUGGAGGUUCUUGGACCCAAGUUCCAUACAUUUUUGCCCAUUGUCAUUGCUAUUAAAUUCCAUCAUAAUUUGUAUAUCGAAAGGGCUACUUCCAAUGUUAUUUCGCAUCCAGCAUGUUGGGUAACCAAUUACGGUGUUUAUCCAACAUGCUGGGUUAGGUCAGGUGGCUGUCAUCUCAGUCAGUCUGACAUGUCGGGUCAUCGACCCAUUUUUGUAUCGUGUUAAUAACAAUAUAUGAAAUUUUGUUAAAUGAGUAUUGAAAUUCAUUGUUUAAGAAUUUGUCGGUUAAUAAAACAUCACGUCUGCAUCCUCAGGGGGUAGGCAGUGGUAUACAUAUCUACUCGCCAGCUCGCAGGAAACUGUUUAAGCCGGCUAAGUAGAAUUAAUGUGAACGUGAAUGUCGAUUCAAACAAAAACUACAUUUUUAAUUUAGUCUGUUUUCCACCUAGCUCUAUCUCCUUCGUACACCCGUCGUAAGAAGAGGACAGCGUUAUUUUCAGAGCUAUAAGACUGAAAUAAAAUUAAGUUUUGGAAAUAUAAGAACAAGGUACUGGUCGUUUUAAAUUUACGCGGUUAUUAUCAUAAUUAAAACACAUAAUAACGGGUUCUUACCGCGUUUAAAAUAGGGACAUGAGACGAUAUUUCGACACUGUUGCAAGUACCAUGAUCACGGGAUGACUGAUGAGAUUGGAGUGGAGUAGGUAGAUCCAUAAUUUUCUACGGGCAGACAUAUCUGUCUACCCUCUUUCUUUGCCGCUUGUUUAUGUAUUUGAUAUCGGAAUGUUCGAAACCAUCUGAACUCGCACCAAACUUACUACGACAAACCGCACUCACUGUGUCCUCACGUUUUGUCACCACAAAUUAUGGAUCUACCUACUCCACUCCAAUCUCAUCAGUCAUCCCGUGAUCAUGGCACUUGCAACAGUGUCGUAAUAUCGGCAGUGUCAUAUACCUAUUUUAAACGCGUUAAGAACCCGUUAUUAUGUGUUUUAAUUAGGAACUUGUCGUCGGCAUUCGUCCACGCGGGACGGUGGGCCAAAUUUGGAACAUCUCAACUCUUCGUGACAAUGAAUUAUUUCAUAAUGAUUUUACAUUAAAAUGAAAAGGUUAUAACACGAUACAAAACCUAGGUGAAUAAUGAAUACGCGUCUCAGUUGGAACCUUGUCACAAUUGUCAUCGGCCAUUGUCUUGUAGGCGCUUUUGUCGUGCGAGGUCGAUGACCGACUGCACCAAUGCCGUCAAGAUGGUUCUAUGAAGGGAUGUUUCCUAUUGAAACUCAAAAAUCAUUGUACCAAGGUCCGUCUAAAUUAACCCGGUCGGGAAUCGAACUCACGUGCGGUGGUAAGAUGUCUUUAGCGUAUAGUGGUGCUGAUACCAGUACACACCAUCUAAUUUUAUUUCAAGUUAUAUCUGUCAUUUUCUUAUCCGCCGAAAAGGAAAGGGACGGGUAAUCGACAGGCAUAAUAUUUAAUGAACACACGUCAAGUUUAGGCAGGAAUUUUAAAAGCUAUCCCUAAUUUAAUAUUGUCCAAUAUCCCGGCAGAAUUAAGUUGACAGCACACGUCAAACGGAUUGCAUAUGACUGACAUGUCUAUUUCAUUCGCCCGGGUUAUUCUUUGAUUCUAAAAUUAUCGGUUGUCAGUCAUCCGUCCCUUUCCGUUUCGGCGGAUAAGAAAAUGACGGGUAUAACUUAAAAUAAAAUUAGGAGGUGUCUGCAGGAAUCGGGGCCAUUGUCCAGUUAAAAUUCGUGAUAAAUUGCUAUACAAUGUGGACCAACGUGGAGUGUAUCCCGUCUGAAGGAUGAGUUACGAAAAAGAAAGCCAUCAGUUGGAAAAAGGCAGUUUUGAUCGAAAAUGAGCUUUUCAGGGUGUUAGUAGCAUCGUAACGAAAACUUUGAGGGGUGAUUGAGGCCAUGAUUCUGAGUUGAUAUCAAGUGUAAUUUUCCAUCGCAAAAGUAUAGAAUUGAAAAUAAUAGUAAAAAACUAAAAAAAAAAUAUGAAUUUUGCGACGAAAAAUUCCACUUGAUAUUAACUCAGAAUCAUGGUCUGAAUCAUCCCCCUGAGUAUUCGUUACGAUGUCACUAACACCCUGUAACACCUUGUAACACUAUGAUUUUGCAGUUAAUCGCUUCGCAAAGGGUUAUAGUGUAAAAAUAUAACCAAAAACAAUAUGUUUGUUUACUCAAACAGUAUGGGGAACUGUCAAAAUUUAAGAACACUCAACAGUUAAUUAAGGCCACAUCGAAGCAAUUCUUCUAUAGAAGCAAUAUUGUAAUUUGAAAUUUGCGCAUAUAAAAGUAAGUGCGCAAAGCAAACAAAUGUCAAAAUAGUAAUUUGGUAUUAUAUUAUAAUGUAUGUACACCAUUAACACAUGUUUAUGGAACACGAUGUUCGUGCGUCACCCAACAGGGUCCACAUAAUAUCAGCGUCGUGGUUCACGCCGCGACUUGUGCUGAGUGAGGCCCUUUUAUCUCAGGACGUCCACCACCACCUUAUGAUCAUUUCGACAAACAUCCGUCUUGCUUUUUUGUAAUUGUUUUAGUGGAAAUUUGAUAUGAUGUUGUUGGCUUUUUUGUGUGUGUGGCGCCCUUUUAUAAUAAACUAUUGCUUUUUUAGGUGAAUUGCUUCGAUGUGGGCUUUUUAACCCUCCUGAUGGGAGUAAUAGGCAGUUUUUAUUCUCAUUGGUUCUUUACACCCGUACUCUAAGAUAUUAACUCCAACUUUCCGUGACUCCGUUGUCAGUUGAGGUGCCCGGAAGACCUCGAACUUAGCUCAAAAUCUGUAUUCUUAGGGUGGUAUUAAUAAACUUAACUCAGCUUUGAGACCGCCCCCAAGAUCAUGUCAAUGUGACAGUUCUCAUAUAAAAACAUGGACUUGAGCAUGAUCUUGAGGGCAGUCUCAGCUGAGAUUAGUUUAUUAAUACCACCCUUAGACGUCGCCGCAACCGUAACUAAUUUACUCCAGUGAGCCAUGACAUCAUUAUUUUCGUAUUAUUAUGUUGGCAGUAUGAUAUGUUCGAGGACACCCACAUCCCCGAGAAAUGCAUUUUCGGAGGUAUGUGACCUAACCUGUAUUGGGCUGGUUUUCCCUUCGCGGGUUGGAAGGUCAGACAGGCAGUCGCUUCUGUAAAAAACCGGACCUGUCAAAUCGUCAGGUUAGGUAAGCGGACCCUGUGGAAAACGGGACAAUGUUAAGGGUAUGAUAUGAUAUGAGGAGCUCGGUGGCGCAGCGGUAAACGCGCUCGGUCUGCGAUUGUUGAAGUUAAGCAACUUUCGCAAAGGCCGGUCAUAGGAUGGGUGGCCCACAAAAAAAAAGUUUUCAUCUCGAGCUCCUCCGUGCUUCGGAAGGCACGUUAAGCCGUUGGUCCCGGCUGCAUUAGCAGUCGUUAAUAACCACCAAUCCGCACUGGGCCCGCGUGGUGGUUUAAGGCCCGAUCUCCCUACCCAUCCAUAGGGAAGGCCCGUGCCCCAGCAGUGGGGACGUUAAUGGGCUGAUGAUGAUUAGUAUGACAUGCUCGACUCCAGUGAGUAAAGUCCUCAAGUCGAGGUCGUAAAUGUCAACUUAGAAUACCAAAAUGCUCAGCUGAGGACGAGUGGAGGAAGUUUCGAGUGAACGUUCACGAGUACUAAUAUGUAUACAAUUUAAAACCAUGUCACAUUAACCGUUUUGACAAAUUAAACCAUAAAUCUCGUUAAAUAUCAAAUAUGAUAGUGCGACAGGGUUCUAAAGUGGGUACAUGAUAUUGCUCAUGACUGAACAUCUUAGAAUGCGGGAAUCAAAGUAUCAGGUCAAGACGUAUGAAGACAUAGUAUUUAUGUGCAUCGGAUUGUAACUAAUUAUAACAGACUAGUUUCCAACCACUCAAAUCAGUUACUUUUUCACAAACGUCAAUACACGAAAUUACUAUGGAAUUUGUGUGAAAAAGCACACUGUGACGUCAUAGAAAGACGUGACACAAUGUCGCACUUAUUAUAACAUUUUUCUUUAUUAAAAUUCAUAAAUAAGUUGAAUAGAAAAAGGAAAACGUUUUCUGUCACCUUUAGAUCUGUCUUUAUUUAGUAAACAUAAUUUCAUAAUUUAUCUUUGACCUAAGAAACUGGCAAGUUAGCAAAGAUUUUUCGGUUGUCGAAAUAAAAGCGACCGGUGAACGGAACACGGUAUUUGACUGGGUCAAAGAUAAAUUAUAAAAUGCUAAUCUAGAAAUAAGGCACCCAACAGGGUCCACAUAAUACCAGCGUCGUGGUUCACGCCGCGACUUGUGCUGAGUGAGGCCCUUUUAUCUCAGGGCGUCCACUUCCACCUUAUGAUCACUCUAAUUAACAUCCUCUACCUAAUUGUUUUGUGAAAAUUUUCAAGUGAUGUUAUUGUCUUUUCUUUCUGUGUGGCGUCCUUUUAUAAUUAACGAUUUCUAUUCUAUUCUAAAUAGAAGCCAAUGUAAGAUAAUCAAAAAUCAAUCUCAUUUUACUUUUCGAUUUUUAUUUAUGAAUUAACGUCACAGGACAGUAUUUCCGUACAAAUUCCAAAGAAAGCUUUCGUUUUGACGUUUCGUAAAAAGUAUCCCAUUUGACUAGGUUGUCAAGUCAACCCGCGAAAAGAAAACCAGCCCGAUACAAGUUAGGUUACACACCUCCGAAAAUGCAUUUCUCGGGAAUGUGGGUUUCCUCACGAUGUUUUCCUUCACCGUUGACCACGUGAUAAUCAUUUAUGACGCAAACAUGUAUUCGAAAUUCUACAAUCGUUGCUUUAGGCCUGUGCUGGAUUCGAACCUGCGACUUCAAAGUGAGAGGCAAGCGUUCUACCAACUGGGCUACCACGGCUGGCUUAUACAAACCGAUGCAUAUAAAUGUGAAGUUAGGCUAAUAGUUUAAGUAUGUAAAUAUAUUUUUAUAAGGAAGUAAAUUAAUUGUUUUUUAUUUGGCAUAAUAAUGUUUUAUAAAAUGCCUGGUUCAUCAAUAUUUAAGGUUUAGAUGAGGAAUAAAUGAGGUAAAUAUUGAAA